CUCGGCGUGGCGACCGGCAAGACCCGUGUGGGCCUGCAGCGCGCACUGGCCGCCAGCGGCCUGACGCAGUUGUUCGACGCCACGCGCUGCGC
Molecule: transfer RNA, 92 nt
Filed under: Cupriavidus yeoncheonensis
Lineage: Bacteria; Pseudomonadati; Pseudomonadota; Betaproteobacteria; Burkholderiales; Burkholderiaceae
Description: tRNA-Cys
Source: RNAcentral